GACGAACGCUGGCGGCGUGCUUAACACAUGCAAGUCGAACGGAAAGGCCCUGCUUUUGUGGGGUGCUGCGAGUGGCGAACGGGUGAGUAACACGUGAGUAACCUGCCCUUGACUUCGGGAUAACUUCAGGAAACUGGGGCUAAUACCGGAUAGGAGCUCCUGCUGCAUGGUGGGGGUUGGAAAGUUUCGGCGGUUGGGGAUGGACUCGCGGCUUAUCAGCUUGUUGGUGGGGUAGUGGCUUACCAAGGCUUUGACGGGUAGCCGGCCUGAGAGGGUGACCGGCCACAUUGGGACUGAGAUACGGCCCAGACUCCUACGGGAGGCAGCAGUGGGGAAUAUUGCACAAUGGGCGGAAGCCUGAUGCAGCAACGCCGCGUGCGGGAUGACGGCCUUCGGGUUGUAAACCGCUUUCGCCUGUGACGAAGCGUGAGUGACGGUAAUGGGUAAAGAAGCACCGGCUAACUACGUGCCAGCAGCCGCGGUGAUACGUAGGGUGCGAGCGUUGUCCGGAUUUAUUGGGCGUAAAGGGCUCGUAGGUGGUUGAUCGCGUCGGAAGUGUAAUCUUGGGGCUUAACCCUGAGCGUGCUUUCGAUACGGGUUGACUUGAGGAAGGUAGGGGAGAAUGGAAUUCCUGGUGGAGCGGUGGAAUGCGCAGAUAUCAGGAGGAACACCAGUGGCGAAGGCGGUUCUCUGGGCCUUUCCUGACGCUGAGGAGCGAAAGCGUGGGGAGCGAACAGGCUUAGAUACCCUGGUAGUCCACGCUGUAAACGGUGGGUACUAGGUGUGGGGUCCAUUCCACGGGUUCCGUGCCGUAGCUAACGCUUUAAGUACCCCGCCUGGGGAGUACGGCCGCAAGGCUAAAACUCAAAGGAAUUGACGGGGCCCCGCACAAGCGGCGGAGCAUGCGGAUUAAUUCGAUGCAACGCGUAGAACCUUACCUGGGUUUGACAUGGAUCGGGAGUGCUCAGAGAUGGGUGUGCCUCUUUUGGGGUCGGUUCACAGGUGGUGCAUGGCUGUUGUCAGCUCGUGUCGUGAGAUGUUGGGUUAAGUCCCGCAACGAGCGCAACCCUUGUUCACUGUUGCCAGCACGUUAUGGUGGGGACUCAGUGGAGACCGCCGGGGUCAACUCGGAGGAAGGUGGGGAUGACGUCAAGUCAUCAUGCCCCUUAUGUCCAGGGCUUCACGCAUGCUACAAUGGCUGGUACAGAGAGUGGCGAGCCUGUGAGGGUGAGCGAAUCUCGGAAAGUCGGUCUCAGUUCGGAUUGGGGUCUGCAACUCGACCUCAUGAAGUCGGAGUCGCUAGUAAUCGCAGAUCAGCAACGCUGCGGUGAAUACGUUCCCGGGGC
RNAcentral lists this ribosomal RNA (1346 nucleotides) under uncultured bacterium. RNAcentral describes it as "partial 16S ribosomal RNA". It matches the Rfam family "Bacterial small subunit ribosomal RNA", at positions 28 to 1380 of the family's 1533-position model. The record is from RNAcentral.